UGGGGGAUAUUGCACAAUGGGGGGAACCCUGAUGCAGCGACGCCGCGUGGGUGAAGGAGCGUUUCGGCGCGUAAAGCCCUAUCGGCAGGGAAGAAGGAGGACGGUACCUGACUAAGAAGCCCCGGCUAACUACGUCGCC
This 139-nucleotide ribosomal RNA is filed under the name uncultured bacterium. Its description in RNAcentral is "partial 16S ribosomal RNA". It matches the Rfam family "Bacterial small subunit ribosomal RNA", at positions 355 to 509 of the family's 1533-position model. The record is from RNAcentral.